GAGAAGUCAGGCCAGAUUAAGCCAUAGUACGGAAAGAG
Molecule: long non-coding RNA, 38 nt
Filed under: dengue virus type 1
Lineage: Riboviria; Orthornavirae; Kitrinoviricota; Flasuviricetes; Amarillovirales; Flaviviridae
Description: partial sfRNA1
Source: RNAcentral